GUGCUUGCUUCGGCAGCACAUAUACUAAAAUUGGAAGGAUACAGAGAUGAUUAGCCUGGCCCCUGUGCAAGGAUGAGAAACAAAUUCAUGAAGCAUUCCGUAAGAAA
Heterocephalus glaber (naked mole-rat) is the source of this 107-nucleotide small nuclear RNA. NCBI's taxonomy places the organism in Eukaryota, Metazoa, Chordata, Mammalia, Rodentia, Bathyergidae. The record is from Ensembl.